UUGGUUAAGUUAGAAAGGGCGCACGGUGGAUGCCUUGGCACUAGGAGCCGAAGAAGGACGGGACUAACACCGAUAUGCUUUGGGGAGCUGUACGUAAGCGUUGAUCCAGAGAUUUCCGAAUGGGGGAACCCACUAUCUUUAGUCGGAUAGUAUCCUUACGUGAAUACAUAGCGUGAGGAAGGCAGACCCAGGGAACUGAAACAUCUAAGUACCUGGAGGAAGAGAAAGAAAAAUCGAUUUCCUGAGUAGCGGCGAGCGAAACGGAAAGAGCCCAAACCAAGAAGCUUGCUUCUUGGGGUUGUAGGACACUCUAUACGGAGUUACAAAAGAAAGUUAUAAAUGAAGCGGUCUGGAAAGGCCCGCCAAAGACGGUAACAGCCCGGUAGUUGAAAUGGCUUUCCCUCCAGAGUGGAUCCUGAGUACGGCGGAACACGUGAAAUUCCGUCGGAAUCCGGGAGGACCAUCUCCCAAGGCUAAAUACUCCCUAGUGACCGAUAGUGAACCAGUACCGUGAGGGAAAGGUGAAAAGCACCCCGGAAGGGGAGUGAAACAGUUCCUGAAACCGUGUGCCUACAAGUAGUUAGAGCCCGUUAAUGGGUGAUAGCGUGCCUUUUGUAGAAUGAACCGGCGAGUUACGAUUUGUUGCAAGGUUAAGCGGAAAAAGCGGAGCCGUAGCGAAAGCGAGUCUGAAUAGGGCGCAUAAGUAACAGGUCGUAGACCCGAAACCAGGUGAUCUACCCAUGUCCAGGAUGAAGGUAAGGUAAUACUUACUGGAGGUCCGAACCCACGCACGUUGAAAAGUGCGGGGAUGAGGUGUGGGUAGCGGAGAAAUUCCAAUCGAACUUGGAGAUAGCUGGUUCUCUCCGAAAUAGCUUUAGGGCUAGCCUCGAGGUAAAGAGUCAUGGAGGUAGAGCACUGUUUGGACUAGGGGCCCUUCUCGGGUUACCGAAUUCAGAUAAACUCCGAAUGCCAUGUACUUAUACUCGGGAGUCAGACUGCGAGUGAUAAGAUCCGUAGUCGAAAGGGAAACAGCCCAGACCACCAGUUAAGGUCCCCAAAUAUAUGUUAAGUGGAAAAGGAUGUGGGGUUGCUUAGACAACCAGGAUGUUGGCUUAGAAGCAGCCACCAUUGAAAGAGUGCGUAAUAGCUCACUGGUCGAGUGACCCCGCGCCGAAAAUGUACCGGGGCUAAACAUAUUACCGAAACUGUGGAUGAACCUCUUUAGAGGUUCGUGGUAGGAGAGCGUUCUAAGGGCGGUGAAGUCAGACCGGAAGGACUGGUGGAGCGCUUAGAAGUGAGAAUGCCGGUAUGAGUAGCGAAAGAAGGGUGAGAAUCCCUUCCACCGAAUAUCUAAGGUUUCCUGAGGAAGGCUCGUCCGCUCAGGGUUAGUCGGGACCUAAGCCGAGGCCGAUAGGCGUAGGCGAUGGACAACAGGUAGAGAUUCCUGUACCAGUGCUAAUUGUUUAACCGAUGGGGUGACACAGAAGGAUAGGGAAUCGCACGAAUGGAAAUGUGCGUCCAAGCAGUGAGUGUGAGAAGUAGGCAAAUCCGCUUCUCGCGAAGCAUGAGCUGUGAUGGGGAAGGAAAUUAAGUACGGAAGUUCCUGAUUUCACGCUGUCAAGAAAAGCCUCUAGGAAGAGUAGUACUGCCCGUACCGCAAACCGACACAGGUAGAUGAGGAGAGAAUCCUAAGGUGAGCGAGAGAACUCUCGUUAAGGAACUCGGCAAAAUGACCCCGUAACUUCGGGAGAAGGGGUGCUCUAUUAGGGUGCAAGCCCGAGAGAGCCGCAGUGAAUAGGCCCAGGCGACUGUUUAGCAAAAACACAGGUCUCUGCAAAACCGUAAGGUGACGUAUAGGGGCUGACGCCUGCCCGGUGCUGGAAGGUUAAGAGGAGUGCUUAGCUUCGGCGAAGGUACGAAUUGAAGCCCCAGUAAACGGCGGCCGUAACUAUAACGGU
This 1958-nucleotide ribosomal RNA is filed under the name Listeria monocytogenes. Its description in RNAcentral is "partial 23S ribosomal RNA". It matches the Rfam family "Bacterial large subunit ribosomal RNA", at positions 1 to 1949 of the family's 2925-position model. The record is from RNAcentral. Lineage: Bacteria; Bacillati; Bacillota; Bacilli; Caryophanales; Listeriaceae.